UGCAGACUAACAGGGAGAAGCUGAUUCUUUGCGUGACAGAGAAAUUGAGACGCCUAAGAUCAAUAGAGACUAUAAAGCUUCUUGUACUGCGCUGAGUAGAACCCAGCAUCUGAAAAUUAUGGCACCGGGUCUUCUACGUUGUCGUCAGUUGAAAUCCUCUUUGGAAACCCUAGAGCGAGAAAGAGAAGGUGAGAAGGUUUGUUAAGAGAAGUAAAGGUUUUAUUCAAUGAUCAAUCCAUGUCAGGAGAGAGAGAACAGGGGAGGG
RNAcentral lists this unclassified non-coding RNA (265 nucleotides) under Hevea brasiliensis (rubber tree). The record is from RNAcentral. Lineage: Eukaryota; Viridiplantae; Streptophyta; Magnoliopsida; Malpighiales; Euphorbiaceae.